CAACUUUCAGCAAUGGAUCUCUUGGCUCUCGCAUCGAUGAAGAACGCAGCGAAAUGCGAUAAGUAAUGUGAAUUGCAGAAUUCAGUGAAUCAUCGAAUCUUUGAACGCAUCUUGCGCUCCUUGGUAUUCUGAGGAGCAUGCCUGUUUGAGUGUCAUU
This 157-nucleotide ribosomal RNA is filed under the name Pseudosperma sororium. RNAcentral describes it as "5.8S ribosomal RNA". It matches the Rfam family "5.8S ribosomal RNA". Rfam says of the family: 5.8S ribosomal RNA (5.8S rRNA) is a component of the large subunit of the eukaryotic ribosome. It is transcribed by RNA polymerase I as part of the 45S precursor that also contains 18S and 28S rRNA. Lineage: Eukaryota; Fungi; Basidiomycota; Agaricomycetes; Agaricales; Inocybaceae. The record is from RNAcentral.